GACGAACGCUGGCGGCGUGCCUAAUACAUGCAAGUAGAACGCUGAAGGAGGAGCUUGCUUCUCUGGAUGAGUUGCGAACGGGUGAGUAACGCGUAGGUAACCUGCCUGGUAGCGGGGGAUAACUAUUGGAAACGAUAGCUAAUACCGCAUAAUAGCAGUUGUUGCAUGACAACUGUUUGAAAGGUGCAAUUGCACCACUACCAGAUGGACCUGCGUUGUAUUAGCUAGUUGGUGGGGUAACGGCUCACCAAGGCGACGAUACAUAGCCGACCUGAGAGGGGGAUCGGCCACACUGGGACUGAGACACGGCCCAGACUCCUACGGGAGGCAGCAGUAGGGAAUCUUCGGCAAUGGACGGAAGUCUGACCGAGCAACGCCGCGUGAGUGAAGAAGGUUUUCGGAUCGUAAAGCUCUGUUGUAAGAGAAGAACGAGUGUGAGAGUGGAAAGUUCACACUGUGACGGUAUCUUACCAGAAAGGGACGGCUAACUACGUG
RNAcentral lists this ribosomal RNA (495 nucleotides) under uncultured bacterium. Its description in RNAcentral is "partial 16S ribosomal RNA". It matches the Rfam family "Bacterial small subunit ribosomal RNA", at positions 28 to 507 of the family's 1533-position model. The record is from RNAcentral.